CCUACGGGCGGCAGCAGUGAGGAAUAUUGGUCAAUGGGCGGGAGCCUGAACCAGCCAAGCCGCGUGAGGGAAGAAGGUACAGCGUAUCGUAAACCUCUUUUGUCAGGGAACAAAGGCGGGGACUAGUCCCCGGAUGAGGGUACCUGAAGAAAAAGCAUCGGCUAACUCCGUGCCAGCAGCCGCGGUAAUACGGAGGAUGCGAGCGUUUUCCGGAUUUAUGGGGGUUAAAGGGUGCGCAGGGGGCCUGUUAAGUCAGCGGUAAAAGCCCGGGGCUCAACCCCGGCGAGCCGUUGAAACUGGCGGGCUGGAGUUGGAGAGAGGUACGCGGAAUGCGCGGUGUAGCGGUGAAAUGCUUAGAUAUCGCGCAGAACCCCGAUUGCGAAGGCAGCGUACCGGCUCCACACUGACGCUGAGGCACGAAAGCGUGGGUAUCGAACAGGAUUAGAUACCCUAGUAGUC
This 459-nucleotide ribosomal RNA is filed under the name uncultured bacterium. Its description in RNAcentral is "partial 16S ribosomal RNA". It matches the Rfam family "Bacterial small subunit ribosomal RNA", at positions 338 to 795 of the family's 1533-position model. The record is from RNAcentral.